Molecule: ribosomal RNA, 705 nt
Filed under: Klebsiella variicola
Lineage: Bacteria; Pseudomonadati; Pseudomonadota; Gammaproteobacteria; Enterobacterales; Enterobacteriaceae
Description: bacterial SSU rRNA
Rfam family: Bacterial small subunit ribosomal RNA
Source: RNAcentral
GGGAGUAGAUGUCGACUUGGAGGUUGUGCCCUUGAGGCGUGGCUUCCGGAGCUAACGCGUUAAAUCGACCGCCUGGGGAGUACGGCCGCAAGGUUAAAACUCAAAUGAAUUGACGGGGGCCCGCACAAGCGGUGGAGCAUGUGGUUUAAUUCGAUGCAACGCGAAGAACCUUACCUGGUCUUGACAUCCACAGAACUUUCCAGAGAUGGUUUGGUGCCUUCGGGAACUGUGAGACAGGUGCUGCAUGGCUGUCGUCAGCUCGUGUUGUGAAAUGUUGGGUUAAGUCCCGCAACGAGCGCAACCCUUAUCCUUUGUUGCCAGCGGUUCGGCCGGGAACUCAAAGGAGACUGCCAGUGAUAAACUGGAGGAAGGUGGGGAUGACGUCAAGUCAUCAUGGCCCUUACGACCAGGGCUACACACGUGCUACAAUGGCAUAUACAAAGAGAAGCGACCUCGCGAGAGCAAGCGGACCUCAUAAAGUGUGUCGUAGUCCGGAUUGGAGUCUGCAACUCGACUCCAUGAAGUCGGAAUCGCUAGUAAUCGUAGAUCAGAAUGCUACGGUGAAUACGUUCCCGGGCCUUGUACACACCGCCCGUCACACCAUGGGAGUGGGUUGCAAAAGAAGUAGGUAGCUUAACCUUCGGGAGGGCGCUUACCACUUUGUGAUUCAUGACUGGGGUGAAGUCGUACAAGGGGAAACCGACC